This 776-nucleotide ribosomal RNA is filed under the name uncultured Neocallimastigales. Its description in RNAcentral is "partial large subunit ribosomal RNA". It matches the Rfam family "Eukaryotic large subunit ribosomal RNA", at positions 26 to 635 of the family's 3401-position model. The record is from RNAcentral. Lineage: Eukaryota; Fungi; Neocallimastigomycota; Neocallimastigomycetes; Neocallimastigales.
CGCAUCUGUGCAUGCAGCAUAUCAAUAAGCGGAGGAAAAGAAACUAACAAGGAUUCCCCUAGUAACGGCGAGUGAAGCGGGAAGAGCUUCAAAUUUGAAAUCUUAAAGGGUUUCCCUUUACGAAUUGUAGUUUAAAGAAGUGUUUUCUGUUGAGGUUUUGGUAAAAGUUCUUUGGAAUAGGACAUCAUAGAGGGUGAGAAUCCCGUAUUUGACCUUUACUUUCAACUUUGUGAUACACUUUCAAAGAGUCGGAUUGUUUGGGAAUGCAGUCCAAAAUGGGUGGUAAAUUUCAUCUAAAGCUAAAUAUUGGCGAGAGACCGAUAGCGAACAAGUACCGUGAGGGAAAGAUGAAAAGGACUUUGAAAAGAGAGUUAAACAGUACGUGAAAUUGUCAAAAGGGAAGCGUUUGACACCAGUGUUGUUUUUCUGAAAAUCAAUUAAAGAACUGUUUAUGCUAAGCUGUUUAGACUUUAUCAGCUAAUCUGUUUAGUUUUGAGCUUUUCUUUAAUGCACUUUUCAGUUAACAAGUCAACAUCAAUUUCUUUUGCUGUAAAAAAGCUUGAGGAAGGUGGCUUGAGAUUCGUCUUAAGUGUUUAUAGCCUCUUGCCUAUGCAGUCGGAGAGAUUGAGGUCUGCAGCGUAGAUCCUUCGGGGCUAAAUGCAUUUGUGCUAAGUUAUAGCAUUUUAUAGACAACUUGUUGACUAUGAUUUGUCUUGUAGCUUACUCGCUUAUGUUAUUUUACCUACGCUUAGGAUGUUGAACGCGCACAGAGUCUC